AUUGAACGCUGGCGGCGUGCCUAACACAUGCAAGUCGAGCGGUAACAGGUGUAGCAAUACAUGCUGACGAGCGGCGAACGGGUGAGUAAUGCUUUGGAAUCUUCCCAGUAGUGGGGAAUAACCAGUCGAAAGAUUGGCUAAUACCGCAUACGUCUGUAAAGGGAAAGCGGGGGACUCGCCUCUUCUUCGGAAGAGAGGCCUCGCGCUAUUGGAUGAGCCAAAGCGGAUUAGCUAGUUGGUGGGGUAAUGGCCUACCAAGGCGACAAUCCGUAGCUGGUCUGAGAGGACGACCGGCCACACCGGAACUGAGACACGGUCCGGACUCCUACGGGAGGCAGCAGUGGGAAUAUUGGACAAUGGGGAAACCCUGAUCCAGCGACGCCGCGUGUGUGAAGAAGGCCUGCGGGUUGUAAAGCACUUUUAGUGGGGACAAAAAGCUACGGAUUAAUACUCUGUGGUCUUGAUUUAACCUACAAG
RNAcentral lists this ribosomal RNA (477 nucleotides) under uncultured bacterium. RNAcentral describes it as "bacterial SSU rRNA". It matches the Rfam family "Bacterial small subunit ribosomal RNA", at positions 30 to 485 of the family's 1533-position model. The record is from RNAcentral.